CGAUUUAGCUCAGUUGGUAGAGCAGCUCACUCGUAACGAGCAGGUCGCAGGUUCGAUUCCUACAAUCGGC
Molecule: transfer RNA, 70 nt
Filed under: Pseudolactococcus piscium
Lineage: Bacteria; Bacillati; Bacillota; Bacilli; Lactobacillales; Streptococcaceae
Rfam family: tRNA
About the family: Transfer RNA (tRNA) molecules are approximately 80 nucleotides in length. Their secondary structure includes four short double-helical elements and three loops (D, anti-codon, and T loops). Further hydrogen bonds mediate the characteristic L-shaped molecular structure. tRNAs have two regions of fundamental functional importance: the anti-codon, which is responsible for specific mRNA codon recognition, and the 3' end, to which the tRNAs corresponding amino acid is attached (by aminoacyl-tRNA synthetases). tRNAs cope with the degeneracy of the genetic code in two manners: having more than one tRNA (with a specific anti-codon) for a particular amino acid; and 'wobble' base-pairing, i.e. permitting non-standard base-pairing at the 3rd anti-codon position.
Source: RNAcentral